GACGAACCGUGCGAACGUUGUUCGGAAUCACUGGGCUUAAAGGGCGCGUAGGCGGGUCAGCAAGUCCGGGGUGAAAUCUUUCAGCUUAACCGGAAAAGUGCCUUGGAUACUGCUGGUCUCGAGGGAGGUAGGGGCCUGCGGAACUUCUGGUGGAGCGGUGAAAUGCGUUGAUAUCAGGAGGAACACCGACGGCGAAGGCAGGUCUCUGGGCAUUAACUGACGCUGAGGAGCGAAAGCAUGGGGAGCGAACAGG
This 253-nucleotide ribosomal RNA is filed under the name uncultured bacterium. Its description in RNAcentral is "partial 16S ribosomal RNA". It matches the Rfam family "Bacterial small subunit ribosomal RNA", at positions 524 to 776 of the family's 1533-position model. The record is from RNAcentral.